GACGAACGCUGGCGGCGUGCCUAAUACAUGCAAGUAGAACGCUGAAGGAGGAGCUUGCUCUUCUGGAUGAGUUGCGAACGGGUGAGUAACGCGUAGGUAACCUGCCUGGUAGCGGGGGAUAACUAUUGGAAACGAUAGCUAAUACCGCAUAACAGUAGAUGUUGCAUGACAUUUACUUAAAAGGUGCAAUUGCAUCACCACCAGAUGGACCUGCGUUGUAUUAGCUAGUUGGUGGGGUAACGGCUCACCAAGGCGACGAUACAUAGCCGACCUGAGAGGGUGAUCGGCCACACUGGGACUGAGACACGGCCCAGACUCCUACGGGAGGCAGCAGUAGGGAAUCUUCGGCAAUGGACGGAAGUCUGACCGAGCAACGCCGCGUGAGUGAAGAAGGUUUUCGGAUCGUAAAGCUCUGUUGUAAGAGAAGAACGAGUGUGAGAGUGGAAAGUUCACACUGUGACGGUAUCUUACCAGAAAGGGACGGCUAACUACGUG
RNAcentral lists this ribosomal RNA (495 nucleotides) under uncultured bacterium. RNAcentral's name for it is "partial 16S ribosomal RNA". It matches the Rfam family "Bacterial small subunit ribosomal RNA", at positions 28 to 507 of the family's 1533-position model. The record is from RNAcentral.